This 72-nucleotide transfer RNA is filed under the name Camelus bactrianus (Bactrian camel). It matches the Rfam family "tRNA". From Rfam's summary of the family: Transfer RNA (tRNA) molecules are approximately 80 nucleotides in length. Their secondary structure includes four short double-helical elements and three loops (D, anti-codon, and T loops). RNAcentral also lists the same sequence under 2 other names. Lineage: Eukaryota; Metazoa; Chordata; Mammalia; Artiodactyla; Camelidae. The record is from Rfam by way of RNAcentral.
GAGGGUAUAGCUCAGAGGUAGAGUGCAUGCCUAGCAUGCACAAGGUCUUGGGUUCAAUCCCUAGUACCUCCA